Molecule: ribosomal RNA, 160 nt
Filed under: uncultured bacterium
Lineage: Bacteria
Description: partial 16S ribosomal RNA
Rfam family: Bacterial small subunit ribosomal RNA
Source: RNAcentral
UGGGGAAUUUUGGACAAUGGGCGCAAGCCUGAUCCAGCAAUGCCGCGUGAGUGAAGAAGGCCUUCGGGUUGUAAAGCUCUUUUGUCAGGGAAGAAACGGCCAGGGAUAAUACCUCGGGCUAAUGACGGUACCUGAAGAAUAAGCACCGGCUAACUACGUG